RNAcentral lists this ribosomal RNA (253 nucleotides) under uncultured bacterium. RNAcentral describes it as "partial 16S ribosomal RNA". It matches the Rfam family "Bacterial small subunit ribosomal RNA", at positions 524 to 776 of the family's 1533-position model. The record is from RNAcentral.
UACGUAGGCAGCAAGCGUUGUUCGGAAUUACUGGGCGUAAAGCGUGCGCAGGCGGUUCGUGAUGUCUGAUGUGAAAGCCCCGGGCUCAACCUGGGAAUUGCAUUGGAAACUAGCGGGCUGGAGUGUGGCAGAGGGGGGUGGAAUUCCACGUGUAGCGGUGAAAUGCGUAGAUAUCUGGAGGAACACCGGUGGCGAAGGCGGCAUCCUGGACCGGCAUUGACGCUGAGGCGCGAAAGCCAGGGGAGCAAACGGG